CCUACGGGAGGCAGCAGUGAGGAAUAUUGGUCAAUGGACGAGAGUCUGAACCAGCCAAGUAGCGUGAAGGAUGACUGCCCUAUGGGUUGUAAACUUCUUUUAUAUGGGAAUAAAACGUUCCACGUGUGGGAUUUUGUAUGUACCAUAUGAAUAAGGAUCGGCUAACUCCGUGCCAGCAGCCGCGGUAAUACGGAGGAUCCGAGCGUUAUCCGGAUUUAUUGGGUUUAAAGGGAGCGUAGGUGGAUUGUUAAGUCAGUUGUGAAAGUUUGCGGCUCAACCGUAACAUUGCAGUUGAAACUGGCAGUCGUGAGUACAGUAGAGGUGGGCGGAAUUCGUGGUGUAGCGGUGAAAUGCUUAGAUGUCACGAAGAACUCCGAUUGCGAAGGCAGCUCACUGGACUGCAACUGACACUGAGGCUCGAAAGUGUGGGUAUCAAACAGGAUUAGAUACCCGAGUAGUC
RNAcentral lists this ribosomal RNA (460 nucleotides) under uncultured bacterium. RNAcentral's name for it is "partial 16S ribosomal RNA". It matches the Rfam family "Bacterial small subunit ribosomal RNA", at positions 338 to 795 of the family's 1533-position model. The record is from RNAcentral.